RNAcentral lists this ribosomal RNA (490 nucleotides) under uncultured Eubacteriales bacterium. RNAcentral describes it as "uncultured Clostridiales bacterium partial 16S ribosomal RNA". The record is from RNAcentral. Lineage: Bacteria; Bacillati; Bacillota; Clostridia; Eubacteriales.
CACGUAGUUAGCCGGGGCUUCUUACUCAGGUACCGUCAUUUUCUUCCCUGCUGAUAGAGCUUUACGUAACGAAUUACUUCUUCACUCACGCGGCGUCGCUGCAUCAGGGUUUCCCCCAUUGUGCAAUAUUCCCCACUGCUGCCUCCCCGUAGGAGUCUGGGCCGUGUCUCAGUCCCAAUGUGGCCGUCCGCCCUCUCAGGCCGGCUACUGAUCGUCGCCUUGGUGGGCCGUUACCCCGCCAACAAGCUAAUCAGACGCGGGUCCAUCUUACACCACCGGAGUUUUUCACACCGCUUCAUGCGAAGCUGUGCGCUUAUGCGGUUUUAGCACCUAUUUCUAAGUGUUAUCCCCCUGUGUAAGGCAGGUUACCCACGCGUUACUCACCCGUCCGCCACUAACCCAUAUAUCACUAGGUUUCAAUAUGGGUCCGUUCGACUUGCAUGUGUUAAGCACGCCGCCAGCGUUCAUCCUGAGCCAGGAUACAAACUCU